GCACAAGCAGUGGAGUAUGUGGUUUAAUUCGAAGCAACGCGAAGAACCUUACCAGGUCUUGACAUCCCUCGGACCGGUGCAGAGAUGUGCCUUUCCUUCGGGACUGAGGUGACAGGUGGUGCAUGGUUGUCGUCAGCUCGUGUCGUGAGAUGUUGGGUUAAGUCCCGCAACGAGCGCAACCCUUACGGUUAGUUGAUACGCAAGAUCACUCUAGCCGGACUGCCGUUGACAAAA
This 234-nucleotide ribosomal RNA is filed under the name uncultured bacterium. RNAcentral's name for it is "partial 16S ribosomal RNA". It matches the Rfam family "Bacterial small subunit ribosomal RNA", at positions 923 to 1163 of the family's 1533-position model. The record is from RNAcentral.